AGUCUUGUGGUCUAGUGGCUAUGAUUUUCGUCUCACAUUUCUUGUGCUUCACGAAAGGUCCCGAGUUCGAACCUCGGCGGGACUA
Peziza echinospora is the source of this 85-nucleotide non-coding RNA. The record is from the annotation of a GenBank genome assembly. NCBI's taxonomy places the organism in Eukaryota, Fungi, Ascomycota, Pezizomycetes, Pezizales, Pezizaceae.